This 253-nucleotide ribosomal RNA is filed under the name uncultured bacterium. Its description in RNAcentral is "partial 16S ribosomal RNA". It matches the Rfam family "Bacterial small subunit ribosomal RNA", at positions 524 to 776 of the family's 1533-position model. The record is from RNAcentral.
UACGAAGGGGGCUAGCGUUGCUCGGAAUCACUGGGCGUAAAGGGUGCGUAGGCGGGUCUUUAAGUCAGGGGUGAAAUCCUGGAGCUCAACUCCAGAACUGCCUAUGAUACUGAGGAUCUUGAGUACGGGAGAGGUGAGUGGAACUGCGAGUGUAGAGGUGAAAUUCGUAGAUAUUCGCAAGAACACCAGUGGCGAAGGCGGCUCACUGGCCCGUUACUGACGCUGAGGCACGAAAGCGUGGGGAGCAAACAGG